AAGCCCGUACCACGGCCCGUUGGAUCAGUCGACUCUCGGUCGAUCGGCCGCCGGCUCAAGUCCGGCCGGGCCUACCA
This 77-nucleotide transfer RNA is filed under the name Burkholderia vietnamiensis. Its description in RNAcentral is "tRNA-Glu". RNAcentral also lists the same sequence under 1 other name. The record is from RNAcentral. Lineage: Bacteria; Pseudomonadati; Pseudomonadota; Betaproteobacteria; Burkholderiales; Burkholderiaceae.